Molecule: long non-coding RNA, 546 nt
Filed under: Hordeum vulgare
Lineage: Eukaryota; Viridiplantae; Streptophyta; Magnoliopsida; Poales; Poaceae
Description: long non-coding RNA (HVUL_LNC004167)
Source: RNAcentral
CUUCUCUGAUCGAGGACACGCUGGGGUUAUGUCUAACAUAAGAACGUGUUCAGGGUCAUUCAUUUGAUCAUCAGUAGCUUAUGUUCGCUGUGCGUAGAUCAUCCCCCUUUUAUUUUUGUAGUCGUAAGUUAGCCACCUUACAUAAAUGCUUAUUCGCUUGCUACAUCCUCACCACUUAACCUUACCUCACCCAUUAAGCUUUGCUAGUAUUGAUACAUUUGGAAAUGAGAUUGUUAAUCCAUGUGGCUCAUAGAUUACUACAUCACCAGUUGUAGGUACAAGUAAAGUGAUAUUAUGGAGUGGGCGCGAUGAUUGUGCUAUGUGGAGUUUCUUCUUCUUCAUCAUCGAUCUAGGAUGGGUUCCAUGCCGGCAGCCUGGGAUAGCAAGGAUGGACGUCGUUCUUUUAUCGUUUGUUUUCGUCCAUAGACGAACCCUGCUUUUCUUCAUGAUGACUGUAUAUUGUUGUAUUAAUGUGAUAUUGAUGUAGCUUGUGGCGAAUGUAAGACAACUCCUUAUACUCAUAUUUUUAGUACAUGUACUUGUAAC